Xiphophorus hellerii (green swordtail) is the source of this 4654-nucleotide long non-coding RNA. RefSeq lists it as uncharacterized. The transcript is spliced from 2 exons. The record is from RefSeq and is a predicted model, not a curated record. Lineage: Eukaryota; Metazoa; Chordata; Actinopteri; Cyprinodontiformes; Poeciliidae.
AUAUAUAUAUAUAUUCACUUUAUCAAUCCUCAUAUAUGAUCUAAAAAUACGUGCAGACAUUUGUAGAUCAGUAACUGUUCUCUCACUGAUUUAUCCAUAAAUGUGAGUCUGUACCAGGAACAUCUGUGUGUGGUAGUUCUCGGGUGCCAGGGUUUGAAAGCAUGGCAAAUUCUGAGAACAGAUGAUAUUCAAUAUGGAAGAUGGUGGCACUAAGUGAAACUAUGUCAAAUUGUAAUGGAAAUGGCGUCAUAUAAUGCUACGCUCCAUAUUUCUAAGCCAUUGCUCAAAAUGUAAUUGCUUCUCUUUGAUCCAGGUGCCAUCUGUGUAAGCUGUAGGAUUUAUGCUGAAGUCGGCUGCAUAUCUGCCUCCUAAAAAAGUACUCUUAUGCUCUGUUUCUUUGAUACUUCUCAGUAAGGGUUAAUGUUUUCAUCAGUACAGUUAGUUUGAUGCUGUGUUUCUCGUCUAAUUUUUCUAGUUUAAGCGUGUUAUUUUUCCAUCCAUCCAUCCAUUUUCUUCCUCUUAUCCGGGGUCAGGUUGUGGGGUUAGCAGCUUCAGGGAGGCCCAGACUUCCCUCUGCCCAGCCACUUGUUCCAGCUCCUCCGGGGGAAUCCCGAGGCGUUCCCAGGCCAGCCGGGAGACAUAGUCCCUCCAGCGUGUCCUGGGUCUUCCCAGUGAAAAAAAUAAAUAAAUAGGUGAUGCUGGUUAUAAAUGUUUUUUUCAGCUUUAAUUUCUAGUUUAAUCAACAGACUUUUCUAGCAAUAACAGCCUAGCAUAGCAAAAAACAUGUUUUUCUUGUGAUUUGAAACAUUUGUCAAUAAAGUGUGUUUAACAUUAUUUGUUAUGUUAAACAGUAAAGUGAAGCAUGUUGGGCCGCAAUGCUUAUAAUUCACUGGGGGAAACCUUGGGGUGACUGUGGAUCAGUGGAUACAGUCGUUGUCUUGCAAUUUUAAGAUUAUAUGCUGGGAUGUUAUCACUUUGCAUUUGCAUCUUAUUUCCUUAUGAAAAAAUAAUUAGCUCCCGUGUUAUAGAGGGGGGACAGAUUAUUUCAGGCAGCUGAAAUAUUUGGUUCCCCCCUCAUAACUUUGGCAAAUAAAAGACCAAAUGUUUUCAAAUUCUCAAAGAUUGCUAUGUGUGAUCGUCUGAGCCACCAAAUCAGUCUAUCAACUAGAAAUUUCUUUUAUCCAGUAAUCUGUCAAACUUUACAUUAGAACGGGGUUUUCCAGAAAGCCUUCACUUCAGAAAGUCUUCAUUUUUUUAUGCCCUGCUGCCAGUUUCCAUUCUUUUAUAUCAGCCAUGAUAUAUGAUACAUACACACAAUGUGUUGGAAACCUGUGUUUGCUGACUGAAAACAACUUUAAAAAACGACACACACACAAAAAAAGAACUCCACACAAGACCUCUUUUAUUUAUUAAUUUGACAAUUCUGUCUUUUUCUAACAGCAGCUGCCAUUAAAACCGAAAGUUACAACCCUGACAUGAUUAUAUGUUUUACAGAGAAUCGAUCAGAAGCGCGCGCGACACUCCAGACACAAUCUAUGAAGACCUGCAGCUCGACGGACCUCUGACCACAACUUCGUCGUUACUCUCUUCUUUAUCUUCUGUUCUCCAGAGCGAGAAGCUGCUAGCUGGUCUGCUCAGUUAAAGUUUGGUGUCGAAUUGUUGGCCUGCUGAAUCAAACAUGGAGUCAGAUUGAAGUGGACGUUGGACGCCUUCACCAAGCCCAAGUUCAGCGCCUUCACCAAGCCCUGUCCUGUCCAGCAGAUCUUUCUGUGACACAGGAGGUCUGCCCUCUUCAGUUCCUGCUUUGGAAAGUCUAUCACACACAAACACCUAGACUGAAUUGUAGUUCACAUUUGGGCAUGUUUGUGGAUUUAAAGUCAUCUUUGUGUUUGAUUGCUUACUUGCCACUUCUUCUUUGACCUGACUUCUGAGACACCAGACUUCUUCUAGAAGUUUUCAGACUCCUCCUCGGCUGCAUAUCAGACCCAUAUUCGCUCUCCUUUCUCUUCUGACUUGUUUUUGGUUUAACUGAAACCUUUCUUCCAGGGGGUUUUUUUCCCACUCUGCUUGAUUUCCGCGUGCUUGGCGACCUGUCUCUUACUGACUUCUUCCUUUCCAUCUCAGCAGGAAUAUCGAUCUCAUCCACAUCGAAAUAAGAGUAGAAGACCUCGUCAGCAGUUCUCUCCUCUUCCUCGCCCAGUUCAAUGUACACACUGGUGGAAAAGAAUUGCUGCCAGAAGUCUUCCCCGCUGGAACUUUUUUGUUUCUUCUUCCAGCUUCUGAUUAUGGAGUUGGGGAUGUAGCCGUCUGGAGCCGUGGGCCAUCUACUGCACUCCGUGUCUUCUUCAGCAUCGUCCGCCAUGACGCAAUAUUCAGCUGUCUCGCAAAGUUCAAACUUUUUCAUGUUGCUGAAACCACAGAACACAUCAGCACGGUACUAUUGAAGUUACGGUAGAGUGCAAGGCAGAUAUCUGGAAAAAAAAAAAUGUAACAAUGUAAAAGUAGUAUCAAUUUCAAAAAAAAAAAAAAAAGCCCAUGCCAUUUACAAUAUGUUGACCCUUCUCACUAAUAAUUCUCUUGGGAUUACAGCAACAAAAAACUUUUUUUUUUCCUUGGGCCCCCUCCACAGAUUCUCUAUGGGGUUUCAAAAUUAUUUUCAUUUUGGGCCAUAUUAAGGUCACAAAUAUUCUUAAGGGUUGGUUGUGGCAGAAUGUAUUCAUAAAACCACCCAUUAAUAAACUCUUAAAAUGUUAAAAGGUUAGUAUUAUGUGUUUUCUAGGUACAUAGAGCUAUUUUAUAACACAAUAAAGUAACUAUGACCUUCAGUUGUUAUAAAAAAAUACAAUAUAAUUCAAAUAUGAAUUCCUUGAAAUUGGGCCUCUGUUUCUUUAAAAACGCCUGUCCUUUCUGAAACUCCGUCCACAGGAUGUCAUCACAACAUAACAGAGGUAAAAGAUUCCUCUAUUGACCCUUUUACAACGUUUUUUUUUUUACCAGUGUUUAAUUUUCCUUUAUCUUUUAUCUUGGAAGUUCUAGAGGGCCACAUAAAUACUAAUGGUGGGCCAGAUUAGGCCCACUGGCCUUGAGUUUGACACAUGAGCUCUUUCAUCUUCAAGUCUGGACUCUGGCUGGUCCAUUUCAAACACUGAUAUCACUUCCAGAAAGAAAAGUAUUUUAGAAAAAUCUUAAUAUUAAUCCAUCUUAACUAAAUCUGCGGAAAGUUUCAGUAAUUUUAGGCUGAACUGUGCCUCAGGGUUUAUUUUUCCAUAGACAUGAGUGAACCACCAAAGCCCUUAAAUGCCAGAGAUUGGAAAUAGCAUAAGAGCAGUAUUUUGUAUCAUAAUAAAAAAAUAAAACUUGUUUAUGUUGGCAAAGCCUCACAGGAUGUUGUGCUGUCAUCUGGAAGAAACGGAGUGGGAAGACGGAGUGUUAAAGGGAGCUCCUUUUAUACCUUUUUAACAAGACAAUAAUGACUCGUCUUGUUAUAAUGAGAAACUGUCACGUUUUAAAGAGAUACCGCUCCUGUAUUCAUUUUCUAUUUCUGGCAGUUAAAAGCUUCCAUAUAAAUCUGUUUUUCUGUGACACAGAAAUAUUCUGGUUUCAUUUCUUUCUCACUCAAAGCUUCACUUAAAAGUUUCAUCAGUUACUCUAAGAGCAAAUGUUAGCAGAUAGUUAGCCUAGCAUGGCAUGAAUAAUAACAGUAACAGCUGAGAGGAAGUGUAGUUUUCCAUAAUUAAUUUUUUUAUUUAAACAUUUAUUACCUAAUAGUUAAACAGUCUGUGGAGAAAUUCAGUUUAUCUGUUCAAUUAACUUUCCAUUGACACAAUUUAUGAUAAAGCUAGCUGUUAGAGGUUGUUAUUUAGUUUUUCUUUUUUAACCAAAGUAGCAAUAUUUUUUAAAACUAUAACUUCAAAUAUCUUUGUAAUUCUUUUGUGUUCUGUUUACUCGUUACAAUGACUUUUUCCCCUCGUUAACUAACUCUAGACAUUUAAUUUGACCUUUUGAAUAAUUAUUAAAACAGUUCUUCCUGUUUCCACCUACCUCCUCCCUCUCAGCCUGGCAGAACUCCUCCUGCCUGUUGCCGUCCACAUUCAUUUUAAAUAAAAACAUCAGUUAUCAGUUCAGUGACAGUUGAAGGCACUUUAUUUUAUUGGCUUGGAUUUCUAUUUAGUUUUGAAACUGAAGUCCUUUCUGAUGUGGGGGGGAAAAAGCCACCCAUUCAGUAAAGUGCAUCGUCAUUUUUCCGUGAGCUUUUUAACAUUUUGGCACAUUACGACCACAAUUGUGUUUAAUGGCUUAUAAACACAGCUUAUUUUGAAAUCACAAAGCGAGUCUCUGUUUUUCAGUAUCCAAAGAAUGAUGUUCUCUUUUAUUUAAAGGUUGGAUGUGAAUACAUUUAUAAUUGUAACAGAAGCAAGAGCAGAAAUAUCCAGACUAGGCAGAACGAUGAAGCUGUCCGGCUGUUAAAUUACUGUUAGAUGAAAACCACAAAUGAACAAUGGAUAGCUUUCUCUCUUAAAAGUUAUUGCCGAGGAAAGAAUGUUUGCCUGUUUUCAUAGCAACUGGAUCAAAAGUACAAUUUAAAAACCAAAUGGAGAUCGUCACACACACAAAAAAAAAAUCAUAUGCUGGCCCUGCUUCUUUCCCCCAGACA